GAUGAACGCUGGCGGCGUGCCUAAUACAUGCAAGUCGAGCGAACGGACGAGAAGCUUGCUUCUCUGAUGUUAGCGGCGGACGGGUGAGUAACACGUGGAUAACCUACCUAUAAGACUGGGAUAACUUCGGGAAACCGUAGCUAAUACCGGAUAAUAUUUUGAACCGCAUGGUUCAAAAGUGAAAGACGGUCUUGCUGUCACUUAUAGAUGGAUCCGCGCUGCAUUAGCUAGUUGGUAAGGUAACGGCUUACCAAGGCAACGAUGCAUAGCCGACCUGAGAGGGUGAUCGGCCACACUGGAACUGAGACACGGUCCAGACUCCUACGGGAGGCAGCAGUAGGGAAUCUUCCGCAAUGGGCGAAAGCCUGACGGAGCAACGUCGCGUGAGUGAUGAAGGUCUUCGGAUCGUAAAACUCUGUUAUUAGGGAAGAACAGAUGUGUAAGUAACUGUGCACAUCUUGACGGUACCUAAUCAGAAAGCCACGGCUAACUACGUG
This 497-nucleotide ribosomal RNA is filed under the name uncultured bacterium. RNAcentral describes it as "partial 16S ribosomal RNA". It matches the Rfam family "Bacterial small subunit ribosomal RNA", at positions 28 to 507 of the family's 1533-position model. The record is from RNAcentral.